This 253-nucleotide ribosomal RNA is filed under the name uncultured bacterium. Its description in RNAcentral is "partial 16S ribosomal RNA". It matches the Rfam family "Bacterial small subunit ribosomal RNA", at positions 524 to 776 of the family's 1533-position model. The record is from RNAcentral.
UACGAGUGCCUCAAGCGUUAUCCGGAAUCAUUGGGCGUAAAGGAUGUGUAGGUGGCAGUGUUAGUCUUUUGUUAAAUUCUUCGGCUUAACCGGGGGCAUGCAAAAGAAACGGCACAGCUAGAGGAUGCGAGGGGUCUGUGGAACUCAUAGUGUAGCGGUGAAAUGCGUUGAUAUUAUGGGGAACACCAAAAGCGAAGGCAGCAGACUGGAGCACUCCUGACACUGAAACAUGAAAGCGUGGGUCGCGAAUGGG